UUCCGGUUGAUCCUGCCGGAGAUCACUGCUAUUGGGAUUCGACUAAGCCAUGCGAGUCGAGAGGGUUCGGCCCUCGGCUGACGGCUCAGUAACACGUGGAUAAUCUGCCCUUAGGUUGAGGAUAAUCUCGGGAAACUGAGGAUAAUACUCCAUAGAUCUAGAAUGCUGGAAUGCAUCUAGAUUUAAAGCUCCGGCGCCUAAGGAUGAGUCUGCGGACUAUCAGGUUGUAGUCAGGGUAAAGACCUGACUAGCCUACGACGGAUACGGGUUGUGAGAGCAAUAACCCGGAGACGAUAUCUGAGACACGAUAUCGGGCCCUACGGGGCGCAGCAGGCGCGAAAACUUCACACUGUGCGAAAGCACGAUGAGGGAAUCCCAAGUGUUUGCUCGUAAGAGUAAACUGUUUCUUUGUUUAAAAAGCAGAGAGAGUAAGGGCUGGGUAAGACGGGUGCCAGCCGCCGCGGUAAUACCUGCAGCUCAAGUGGUGAUCAUUAUUAUUGGGCCUAAAACGUCCGUAGCCGGUUUAGUAAAUGCCUGGGUAAAUCGUGUAGCUUAACUAUACGAAUUCCGGGUAGACUGUAAGGCUUGAGACCGGGAGAGGCUAGAGGUACUCCUGGGGUAGAGGUGAAAUUCUGUAAUCCUGGGGGGACCACCAGUGGCGAAGGCGUCUAGCUAGAACGGGUCUGACGGUGAGGGACGAAGCCUUGGGGCGCAAACCGGAUUAGAUACCCGGGUAGUCCAAGGUGUAAACGCUGCUUGCUUGAUGUUAGUCGGGCUCCGAGCCCGAUUAGUGUCGGAGAGAAGUUGUUAAGCAAGCUGCCUGGGAAGUACGAUCGCAAGAUUGAAACUUAAAGGAAUUGGCGGGGGAGCAC
RNAcentral lists this ribosomal RNA (872 nucleotides) under uncultured archaeon. RNAcentral's name for it is "bacterial SSU rRNA". It matches the Rfam family "Archaeal small subunit ribosomal RNA", at positions 1 to 879 of the family's 1478-position model. The record is from RNAcentral.